Molecule: long non-coding RNA, 1502 nt
Organism: Bombina bombina (fire-bellied toad)
Lineage: Eukaryota; Metazoa; Chordata; Amphibia; Anura; Bombinatoridae
Exons: 3
Source: RefSeq, a predicted model, not a curated record
AUAUAUAAUUCAAUGGUUGGCUAAACGAAAUAAGAUAAUGAAAAAUAAAGAUGUUCAUUUUAUAAAAAUAUUUAUUUUCUACAUCAAAAAUAAAGCUGUCUUGAUAUUCAUCCUUGCAGACUAAAUAAAAGAUUUCUAUAUUGCAUUGAUCCUUCGAAAUAUUUAUUUUUAGCAAGUUAUAUAUAAUACAUUAUUGCUUGAGAUUUAUUAUUACAAAUGUUGUAAUCCUUUUUAAAACUAAAAUAUUUUCAACCUAAAUCAUUUACUUACAAUCGAUAGUAGAUUGAUAAUUAGGGAUAAAAUUAUAGGCUUCGCUCCUGUCCUUCAACACUCGCAACAAUAGUUUUCAUUGAAUGGAGUUAGACUCAUUCAAUGAAUACUAUGUUGAUGUAAACAGGAAACAGGAGUAACGCAUGCGCAUUGGAAAUAAUUCACGGGAGCGCGCAGUGCCGAUAUGUAAACAGCGGGUGGAGCCGCUGUUUACAUUAGAUGGGGGAGAAUCAGGAAACUGAGAGUGGGAGGAGCGGGUAAGUGAAUGAGCGAUGAUUAUAUGAUAAAAUAACAUCGCAAUAAUACAUUUUUUUUAAAAAUAAUUGUGGCGGUAUUCUUUAGCGUAUUAUUAGCUACUAUUAUAUAUAACGCAAUCUAAUAAAAUGUACAUUCACUUUAAUAUUGGCUUACAUUUUAGCUGGGGUCAGUAAAAAUAGUCGGCUUGUGCCCUAAUCAAAAAGGUCUUGGGGAGAACACUUUCACUUUAGCCAUAAAAUUCUUUCAGGGUUCUUUAAUUCAAAUUUUACAUUUUGCGCUCCAUUUUAUAAUUUAGAACUUUGUUUAACACUAAAAAGAAUAAUGUAUAAUACCCUUUGCUAAAAUUUAAAAUAGCUUUUAAAGUGACACAACUUAUGGAAGCAUAUUUAGAAAAUGCAAGCUAAUUUUGCUAUUGUGCAGAUAAAAUUAGAGGUGGUGAAAAAUAUAACGGUUCUAGUGGGACCAAGGGGGUUUUGAUUUUCUAAUUGCAAUAAAAUAUAUAUGGCACUUACAAGAGCAUGAAAGCUUUUUCUUUUUUUCUUCCUCAGCAUAUGUGACCGUGUAUGGAGAAAUGCCAUAUUAUGAAGAGAUGCUCACUUCACCUCGUGUUUACGUAGAAGAAAUUCAUCCACGCUGUCACUAGAUGAUUCUCACUCAUUACAAUGGCACCAUGAUGACUUUACAGAUUAGAGACCUUGAUCUAACGCCUUUAUGCAACUAUUGAAUAAUUGGAACACAACUUGUGACUUUAGCCCAGUGACAUUAUGCUAGGUUUUGUCAUAGCGGUUUCUUCAAAGAUGAACAAUUAAACGUAUACACACCGUGUACACAGGAAAAAAGGUGAUUAUGGCAGGACGACAGCAUUUUUCUUCAAUUACCUUGAACAAUAAACAUGGAUGCAAUUUGGAUUUAUGACCUGUGGCGGCUAUUUAAAGUGUUGUGUUGCUGUGUCAAUAAAGCUUUGACUUCUCUUA